UGGGGAAUAUUGGACAAUGGGCGAAAGCCUGAUCCAGCCAUGCCGCGUGUGUGAAGAAGGUUUUCGGAUUGUAAAGCACUUUAAGUUGGGAGGAAGGGCAGUAAGCGAAUACCUUGCUGUUUUGACGUUACCGACAGAAUAAGCACCGGCUAACUCUGUGCCAGCAGCCGCGGUAAUACAGAGGGUGCAAGCGUUAAUCGGAAUUACUGGGCGUAAAGCGCGCGUAGGUGGUUCGUUAAGUUGAAUGUGAAAGCCCCGGGCUCAACCUGGGAACUGCAUCCAAAACGGGCGAGCGAGAGUAGGGCAGAGGGUGGUGGAAUUUCCUGUGUAGCGGUGAAAGGCGUAGAUAUAGGAAGGAACACCAGUGGCGAAGGCGACCACCUGGGCUCAUACUGACACUGAGAUGCGAAAGCGUGGGGAGCAAACAGG
RNAcentral lists this ribosomal RNA (429 nucleotides) under Pseudomonadota bacterium. Its description in RNAcentral is "Proteobacteria bacterium partial 16S ribosomal RNA". It matches the Rfam family "Bacterial small subunit ribosomal RNA", at positions 355 to 776 of the family's 1533-position model. Lineage: Bacteria; Pseudomonadati; Pseudomonadota. The record is from RNAcentral.